GCUAGCUUAGGGGUUCGCAAGAACACCGGCAGACAGUUCCAUAACACGUCGAUAAUCUAACCUUAGAUUGGGGAUAACUUCGGGAAACUGAGGCUAACACCCAAUAGGAGAUUGGUGCUGGAAAGCUCUUUCUCUUAAAGGCAACGUCUAAGGAUGAGUCGGCGGCCGAUUAGGCAGUUGGUGGGGUAUGGCCCACCAAACCAUUGAUCGGUAGGGGCCUUGAGAGAGGAAGCCCCGAGGAGGACACUGAGAUAAGGGUCCUGACUCUACGGAGUAUAGCAAGUGCGAAAACUUUACAAUACAUGAAAGUGUGAUAAGGGGACUCUGAGUGCUUAUGCAUAGCAUAAGCUUUUGCUGAGAAUAAAAAUCUCGGAGAAUAAGUGGUGGGCAAGACUGGUGCCAGCAGCCGCGGUAACACCAGCGCCACGAGUGGGGAUCUAUGUUAUUAGGCCUAAAGCGUCCGUAGCCGGUUUAGUAAAUCUUCUGUGAAAUUGUUGGGCUUAACUCAACGGCGUGCAGGAGACACUGCUGAACUUGAGACCGGGAGGAGUCAGAGGUAUUUCUUGGGUAGCGGUAAAAUGCAAUAAUCCAAGAAAGACCACCUGUGGCGGAGGCGUCUGACUAGAACGGUUCUGACGGUGAGGGACGAAAGCCAGGGGAGCGAACCGGAUUAGAUACCCGAGUAGUCCUGGCUGUAAACUCUGCGAGUUAGGUGUUGCAUAUUCCUCGAGAAUAUGCAGUGUCGUAGUGAAGACGUUAAACUCGCCGCCUGGGUAGUACGGUCGCAAGACUGAAACUUAAAGGAAUAGGCGGGGGAGCACUACAAGGGGUGCGGCGUGCGGUUUAAUCCAACUCAACGCGGAGAAUCUCACCAGAAGCGACGGCAGGAUGAAAGUCAGGCUAAAGACCUUACUUAACAAGCCGAGAGGUGGUGCAUGGCCGUCGUCAGCUCGUGCUGUGAAUUGUCCUGUUAAGUCAGGCAACGAGCGAGACCUGCACCUACAAUUGCCAGCAGCUGAGCAAUCAGGACUGGGCACAUUGUAGGGACUGCCCUGGAAUCAGGGAGGAAGGAGCAGGCAACGGUAGGUCUGUAUGCCCCGAAUCUUCUGGGCUACACGCGCGCAACAAUGGUAGGGACAAUGGGACACAACUCCGAAAGGAGAAGUUAAUCCUCGAAACCCUACCUCAGUACAGAUUGAGGAUUGUAACUCAUCCUCAUGACGUCGGAAUCCCUAGUAACCAGAUGUUAGCAUCGUCCGGUGAAUAUGUCCCUGCUCCUUGCACUCACCGCCCGUCAAGCCAACCGAGCAGGGUCAAGGUGAAAUCUAGCAUUUAACUAGGUUGAAUCUUGGCUCAGUGAGGUGGGCUAAGUCGUCACAAGGUA
Molecule: ribosomal RNA, 1384 nt
Filed under: metagenome
Description: bacterial SSU rRNA
Rfam family: Archaeal small subunit ribosomal RNA
Source: RNAcentral